Molecule: ribosomal RNA, 301 nt
Filed under: uncultured bacterium
Lineage: Bacteria
Description: partial 16S ribosomal RNA
Rfam family: Bacterial small subunit ribosomal RNA
Source: RNAcentral
CAGCAGCCACGGGAAUACGUAGGUGGCAAGCGUUGUCCGGAAUUACUGGGCGUAAAGGGCUCGCAGGCGGUUUCUUAAGUCUGAUGUGAAAGCCCCCGGCUCAACCGGGGAGAGUCAUUGGAAACUGGGAAACUUGAGUGCAGAAGAGGAGAGUGGAAUUCCACGUGUAGCGGUGAAAUGCGUAGAGAUGUGGAGGAACACCAGUGGCGAAGGCGACUCUCUGGUCUGUAACUGACGCUGAGGAGCGAAAGCUAGGGGAGCAAACAGGAUUAGAUACCCGCGUAGUCCCUGUCUCUUAUAC